This 109-nucleotide ribosomal RNA is filed under the name Kluyvera ascorbata. Lineage: Bacteria; Pseudomonadati; Pseudomonadota; Gammaproteobacteria; Enterobacterales; Enterobacteriaceae. RNAcentral also lists the same sequence under 1 other name. The record is from RNAcentral.
CGGCUGUAGCGCGGUGGUCCCACCUGACCCCAUGCCGAACUCAGAAGUGAAACGCCGUAGCGCCGAUGGUAGUGUGGGGUCUCCCCAUGCGAGAGUAGGGAACUGCCAG